Molecule: long non-coding RNA, 651 nt
Organism: Helicoverpa armigera (cotton bollworm)
Lineage: Eukaryota; Metazoa; Arthropoda; Insecta; Lepidoptera; Noctuidae
Exons: 4
Source: RefSeq, a predicted model, not a curated record
GUUUUUCUUUCAGAAAUCCUUACAGAACUGAAUGCCACUACACCACUCGAAGAAACGACACCACAAAACUAUGAAAUGCUUACACAAUUGAAUGCUACACCACCACCACCUGAAACUUGGAUACCACAAAACUAUGAUAUCCCUGUGCAGAAUUACAGUAUUCCGGAUAGAGAGCCAAUAAUCUAUGGAUAUCCGAUGCAGCAGAAUGACACUUUUCCGAAUAGACACCAGGUCCAAGAACAAAUUAAUGUUGGUAAGACUCAUGUUCUAUAGACUUUUGUGAGAAUAUAGAAGAAUAUUUUAAAGAAAAUGUUUUAGUAUAACGUAAAAUCUAUUGGUAUUGUAAUUAGUGCUUUACAGCAAUAUUGCAAUGCUCCUUGAUUGAUCAUCAUCCCAUAAGAUGUAUCACCUCCCGAGCCUUUUCCCAACUAUGUUGGAGUCGGCUUCCAUUCUAACCGGAUUCAGCUGAGUACCAGUGCUUUACAAGAAGCGACUGCCUAUAUGACCUCCUCAACCCAGUUUCCCGGGCGACCUGACACCCCUUGGUUAGACUGGCGUCAGACUUGCAGGUUUCUGACUACCCGUAACGACUGUCAAGGAUGUUCAAUGACAGCCGGGACCUACAGUUUAACGUGCCAUCCGAAACACAAC